RNAcentral lists this ribosomal RNA (379 nucleotides) under uncultured eukaryote. RNAcentral's name for it is "partial 18S ribosomal RNA". It matches the Rfam family "Eukaryotic small subunit ribosomal RNA", at positions 592 to 976 of the family's 1831-position model. The record is from RNAcentral.
CAAUAGCGUAUAUUUAAGUUGUUGCAGUUAAAAAGCUCGUAGUUGGAUUUCGGAUGGGACUUGCCGGUCCGUCGUUUCGAUGUGCACUGGCCAGUCCUAUCUUGUUGUCGGGGACUAGCUCCUGGGCUUCACUGUCCGGGACUAGGAGCUGACGAGGUUACUUUGAGUAAACUAGAGUGUUCAAAGCAAGCCUACGCUCUGAAUACAUUAGCAUGGAAUAACACGAUAGGACUCUGGCUUAUCUUGUUGGUCUGUGAGACCAGAGUAAUGAUUAAGAGGGACAGUCGGGGGCAUUCGUAUUUCAUUGUCAGAGGUGAAAUUCUUGGAUUUAUGAAAGACGAACUUCUGCGAAAGCAUUUGUCAAGGAUGUUUUCAUUAA